UAUUGUCAAUACCAUGACUUUUAGAUUAACUAUCCAAGAUGACUAUGAGAAGUUACUAACUCAUGAUAUUAAUGUCCAGUUCCUUCAAGUACUGGCCCCAGGUGUUGUUCAUCCUAAUUGCUCCUCUAACAAGACUGGUAGUGCCACUAAUGUGUAUCCUUCAGCUGGUACUCCUUCUGGUGACAAAAUCACUUGCCGAUGGGGUGGGCAUUAAUAAGAGUUUCAAAAUGGAUUUGGGACUUGUCUGGUAGACGGUGGAUUCACUGCAUCACUUCUUAUAUCCAGAUGGUUGUCAGUUGUAUGCUCCUGAGAGGGAGCCAGCCUGUGUUCCUCUUGUCCUUACUAAUAUCCUUAAAUUUAAGGAUAUUAGUAAUUGGUACUUGUACUUAUGCAAUGGCUAUCAAGUUCACACGUCCAUUCUUCAUUGAAAAGCCCAGUGAUGUUAGGUGUGGUCAUUAUAAUCUCCUCCCCUGGACAGGCUGUAUGAGUAGUCUAUCAGGUAUGGACACAUGUA
This is a long non-coding RNA of Amphimedon queenslandica, 514 nucleotides long. RefSeq lists it as uncharacterized. NCBI's taxonomy places the organism in Eukaryota, Metazoa, Porifera, Demospongiae, Haplosclerida, Niphatidae. The record is from RefSeq and is a predicted model, not a curated record. The transcript is spliced from 4 exons.